This 292-nucleotide ribosomal RNA is filed under the name uncultured bacterium. Its description in RNAcentral is "partial 16S ribosomal RNA". It matches the Rfam family "Bacterial small subunit ribosomal RNA", at positions 505 to 796 of the family's 1533-position model. The record is from RNAcentral.
GUGUCAGCCGCCGCGGUAAGACGGAGGAUGCAAGCGUUAUCCGGAAUGAUUGGGCGUAAAGCGUCCGCAGGUGGCUCUUCAAGUCUGCUGUCAAAGAGCAAGGCUCAACCUUGUCAAGGCAGUGGAAACUGAAAAGCUAGAGUGUGGUAGGGGUAGAGGGAAUUCCCAGUGUAGCGGUGAAAUGCGUAGAGAUUGGGAAGAACACCGGUGGCGAAAGCGCUCUACUGGACCUGCACUGACACUGAGGGACGAAAGCUAGGGGAGCGAAUGGGAUUAGAAACCCUCGUAGUCC